GCAGCAAGCAUGGCAAAAGCUUCAAGAUCCGUAUAAUAUCUCUUCAGCCUUCCUGUCUGAAGACAGAGGUCCAUAUUUCUGUGGAUUAAUGUAUUGCUACACCAGCUGUAUCCAGGAAUGGCUGCCUGAGGGAACAGGGUCCUACCAUGUUUCUCAAAUUUGCUUGUUUGUGAGUCUUAUGGCAUUCUGGGUAACUAGACUGUCUACUUGGCAACUCCAUUUUCCUUUAAGAAGGUGUGCCCAGGUGUAUCUCAGGGACCAACCAUCCUCCCUGGGUUGGUAUGCAAGGAACAGGGGUUGUCGGAUGGGGCACCCACACUUUCAAAAUGAUGGUUCUGUUGUGACACACCCCCUAUCUGUUCCUCCCCUGCUAGGUUUUCCAUGGCUUCCCGUGGCUUCUUGCUCUCAGUACCCACCAUCAGCAGGGUGAACAUGGUCUGCCCCACAUUGAACCCGUGCCGCCAGUUGUGAUGAGAAGAUAGCAUUCCAAGAGGUUAAAUGACUUGUUCAAAUUCAUGGAAUGAAACCACAACUGAUCUCCAGAGGUGAGUUCCAAGGGGAGGAGGUGACAAGGUGCAUGGAACGUGACAACCUUCUCCUUGGUCAUGUCCAGCAGUCCAAUGGAAUAUCGUUCACAGUUCAGCCCUGCUAAGACCUCUGCCCUGCUGUCAAAGGCCACCUACCUUUUUCACAUCUGGGACAUUCAGGACUUUCUUCGUGUGAG
Long non-coding RNA from Dipodomys spectabilis (banner-tailed kangaroo rat), 724 nucleotides. RefSeq lists it as uncharacterized. The record is from RefSeq and is a predicted model, not a curated record. The transcript has 4 exons. Lineage: Eukaryota; Metazoa; Chordata; Mammalia; Rodentia; Heteromyidae.